GGACUGCUGAGGAGUCCCAUAAUAGGACGAAACGGCUGCCCAGUGC
Molecule: non-coding RNA, 46 nt
Organism: Schistosoma mansoni
Lineage: Eukaryota; Metazoa; Platyhelminthes; Trematoda; Strigeidida; Schistosomatidae
Source: Rfam